This 468-nucleotide ribosomal RNA is filed under the name uncultured bacterium. RNAcentral's name for it is "partial 16S ribosomal RNA". It matches the Rfam family "Bacterial small subunit ribosomal RNA", at positions 28 to 507 of the family's 1533-position model. The record is from RNAcentral.
GACGAACGCUGGCGGCGUGCUUAACACAUGCAAGUCGAACGGAAAGGCCCUGCUUUUGUGGGGUGCUCGAGUGGCGAACGGGUGAGUAGCACGUGAGUAACCUGCCCUUGACUUUGGGAUAACUUCAGGAAACUGGGGCUAAUACCGGAUAGGAGCUCCUGCUGCAUGGUGGGGGUUGGAAAGUUUCGGCGGUUGGGGAUGGACUCGCGGCUCAUCAGCUUGUUGGUGGGGUAGUGGCUUACCAAGGCUUUGACGGGUAGCCGGCCUGAGAGGGUGACCGGCAACAUUGGGACUGAGAGACGGCCCAGACGCCUACGGGAGGCAGCAGGGGGGAAUAUUGCACAAUGGGCGGAAGCCUGAUGCAGCAACGCCGCGUGCGGGAUGACGGCCUUCGGGUGGUAAACCGCUUUCGCCUGUGACGAAGCGUGAGUGACGGUAAUGGGUAAAGAAGCACCGGCUAACUACGUG